AUUCCAGCUCCAAUAGCGUAUAUUAAAGUUGUUGCGGUUAAAAAGCUCGUAGUUGGAUUUCUGCUGAGGACGACUGGUCCGCCCCCUGGGUGAGCAUCUGGUUCGGCCUGGGCAUCUUCUUGGGGAACGUAUCUGCACUUGAUUGUGUGGUGCGGUAUCCAGGACUUUUACUUUGAGGAAAUUAGAGUGUUUCAAGCAGGCCCGCGCCUUGAAUACAUUAGCAUGGAAUAAUAAGAUAGGACCUCGGUUCUAUUUAGUUGGUUUCUAGAGCUGAGGUAAUGAUUAAUAGGGAUAGUUGGGGGCAUUCGUAUUUAAUUGUCAGAGGUGAAAUUCUUGGGUUUAUGAAAGACGAACUUCUGCGAAAGCAUUUACCAAGGAUGUUUUCAUCG
This 389-nucleotide ribosomal RNA is filed under the name Dinophyceae sp. RNAcentral describes it as "partial small subunit ribosomal RNA". It matches the Rfam family "Eukaryotic small subunit ribosomal RNA", at positions 582 to 975 of the family's 1831-position model. The record is from RNAcentral. Lineage: Eukaryota; Dinophyceae.